UAAUACGAGGGGUGCUAGCGUUGUCCGGAAUUACUGGGCGUAAAGGGUCCGUAGGCGUUUUGCUAAGUUGAUUGUUAAAUCCAUCGGCUCAACCGAUGACCUGCAAUCAAAACUGGCAGAAUAGAGUUCGAGAGGGGAAAGUAGAAUUCCUGGCGUAGCGGUGACAUGCGUAGAUAUCAGGAGGAAUACCGAUGGCGAAGGCAGCUUUCUGGCUCGAUACUGACGCUGAGGGACGAAAGCGGGGGGAGCGAACAGGAUUAGAUACCCUGGUAGUCCACGCCGUAAACGAUGAGUACUUGAUGUCGGAGGAUUCGACCCCUUCGGUGUCGUAGCUAACGCGAUAAGUACUCCGCCUGGGGACUACGACCGCAAGGUUG
This 377-nucleotide ribosomal RNA is filed under the name uncultured bacterium. RNAcentral describes it as "bacterial SSU rRNA". It matches the Rfam family "Bacterial small subunit ribosomal RNA", at positions 521 to 896 of the family's 1533-position model. The record is from RNAcentral.